GACGAACGCUGGCGGCGUGCUUAACACAUGCAAGUCGAACGGAAAGGCCCUGCUAUUGUGGGGUGCUCGAGUGGCGAACGGGUGAGUAACACGUGAGUAACCUGCCCUUGACUUUGGGAUAACUUCAGGAAACUGGGGCUAAUACCGUAUAGGAGAUCCUGUUGCAUGGUGGGGGGUGGAAAGUUUCGGCGGGUGGGGAUGGACUGGCGGCUUAACGGCUUGUUGGUGGGGUAGUGGCUUACCAAGGCUGUGACGGAUAGCCGGCCUGAGAGGGUGAACGGGCUCCAUGGUCCUGCGGUACGGAGCAGAGUCGUACGGGGGGCAGCAGUGGGAAACAUUGCACAGUGGGCGGACGCCGGUGGAGGAGACGCCGCGUGCGGGAUGCCGGCCUGCGGGUUGUAAACCGCUGUCGCCUGUGACGAAGCGGGAGUGACGGUAAUGGAUAAAGAAGCACCGGCUAACUACGUG
This 468-nucleotide ribosomal RNA is filed under the name uncultured bacterium. RNAcentral describes it as "partial 16S ribosomal RNA". It matches the Rfam family "Bacterial small subunit ribosomal RNA", at positions 28 to 507 of the family's 1533-position model. The record is from RNAcentral.